UUUGUAGGAUGAUCCAGGGAGGCCGGGGCAACCCCCACGUGCAGCUGGAGCUCCUACCGCCGCCCGCCCGUGAUGUUUCCUUGGUUCCAUGCUUGAUACCUGCUACAAGAUCAGUUGCUUUGUCUUUCAACUCCUUCCUGAAUCUUAAAAUUGUGUUUCGUGAGGGUCAAUUUUGUUUAGUGUUACAUGUGACAAAAAUUGAUUCUAUUCUAUUUCGUCAAAACCUGUUUUAUUGCGUUCAUGAUUCUUGAAGAUCUUGUUGGAUAUUUACUGGCUUUCUAAUAUGAUUUCGUCAUCCGUGUAGGAAUGGCUUGUAGAUUGCUGCGGGUGAAAUUUUGGUUAUGGAUGUUGAAACUAGUGAUCAUCUGUCCUUGUGUUUGAUGAUUCUUUGUUAGUUGUAUGAGAAGAUUGUAUUUUGAUCUCACUUGUGCUUUUAAAGAGAUCAAGCUUCGUGCGACGCAAGAAAUUUACCAUCAAGGUAUCUAGAGAAAAAAUAAAAAAUAAAAAUCACACUUAUCCACAAAUUAAAUAUUCGAGUAAUAAGAAGAUACUUAUACGGAGAGAGAUUGAAGUAUGAGACAUAACUAAUGCAUGAGAUGCAAUGUGAAAAGCAUCUCAAAUUGAAAGCAUCUGUUUAUUUUUAAUUCUGGCUUUGUUGAACUGUUCUUUAGAAACACAAUAUUUAUACAACAACGUGUACGUCAGUAUGUGCAAUUCAACACCAACAGGGAAAUUAAUUAAGCAUGGAUUAAUUGUUAUUAAUUGUCGUGCUGAUCCAAAACCAUUUGUUCUAUUUCUAUUCAACCCCCAGGAAUCUUUCAAACCUGCACCAUAAACGUACAAAAAUAUAUAUUAUGUAUAUUCAUCAUAAGGCCAUGUUAGCUUAGCUAAUAUCUCCAAAGACGAAGACAAAAUAUGUAGGCCCUUCGAUUGAUAAGUAAUUAUUAAACUAAAUUUCUCUAUAUAUGCUGGCACCGAGAGUUGAGUUGGUGCAUGCCCUUCAUUGCUUUAAUCUCUCAACACCUUCACAUUGCUAUUUCCUGUUGCCUUCUUUCUUUCUCCGCCCUUCGGUAUGUAUACAAUGAUUUAUUUUUCCUCGAAACAACUUAAAUUAUUUUGAGAUUAUCUUUUUCUGUUUAGGGAUAGGGAAUUCAAUUAAUUAAGUGCAUUUAAUUGCAUGCGCGCAUAAGCUAGCAUAUUAUCGUUUAAUUUGUUUGCCAUACAUAAAUAUGCUUUACUCUUGAGUUUAAUGGGAACUUGCAUACAUACGUAUGUAUACCAACGAAUGAAUAGUACAUGCAUGCAUGGCAUGUUCCUUUUCUCAAAUGUCAAGUAAUUAAAUGCGUAUAAGGGUGAACCAAAAAAAUCUUCGGUUUAUGAGCAAUUUGUUCAUAGAAAAUAGAAGAUUCAGAGAUUAAGGAUUUGAUGCACUUUGAUUACCUAUAUGUACCCGGUUGAUUGCUACUGUUUCCUCUAUUUGUCACCUUCUAACUUUUUUGUCAUUAAAUCAAGUAUCUAAUUUUUAUGUUUUAUCGCUUUCAUAUAUUCUUCAAAACAUCAGAGAAUAGUGGAAUAAAGAAUGUUGGUAGCCUCGACCCGCAAAUUAUUCAGUCUAUUUUGUGAUGGACAGUGUUUAUUAGAAAUUUACAUGUGAGUAGUUUCGCAUCACAUAACUAAUUUAUUAAAGAGUAAAUGAUUGAUAUAUCGUAAUGGAUCUUGACCUAAUAAGUUUUAAGCAUUUAAGGCUAGAUGAGUUACAGUAAAUAUGCCAUAUUCUUUUUCUUUUUCUUUUUCUUUUUUUUUUGAGAGAUAGGUAGCACGCUACCCGCUUCGUUUAUUUCAUUUAGAAAUAAACUUAGCUGUAAAUAUGAAUCAACUUAACUUGGGUUUCGGGUACCAAUCACUAAAUCCUUUGCCACUUGCUCUAGGGACAGUGCCAUAUUCUUGGAUCUAUAUUCUUGGAUCCAUGUGGACUUAGGAUGAAUUGCGACUCUCCUAAUAAGCAGUAUCAGAGGCGAUAGUUUGGCAAUUUUAGAUUACUCGCUUAUAUGGUAUGGUUGAAUCGAGUUACUAGCUCACAUGAACAUGAUGGACUAAUGGAAGGAAGUCAAUUUAUAUAAUGCGAUAUGAUGGCUUAACGCAAUCAAAAUAGUUGGGUCAACAAAUUAAGCAUGUGUUAGGCAUAUAAACUCACGAGAGGGGCGUAGGUUCGAUACAUCGGCUUGGACGAUGAUCAGUGGAUUCGCAUUAGGUUUAGUGCAAUGUUUGAGGAGAUUGUUAAAAAUUUAUACAUAAUCAGUCUCGCCCCAAAUAACUAAUAUAAAACGUAAAUAAUCAAUAUAUACAUACUAAUGAACUGAAAGCUAAUUAUACACCAAAAUUUUUUGGUUUAAUGUGUUCUGCUAAAUUUAUCACAAUCUUAGAUCUACGAGACUUUGAUAAGUAUCGCACAAAGGUGCUGGCAAUUGCAUGGUGGCGACGGCAAUCAAUUGAUCAUCUUAAUUAUGAGCGUAAUGCAUUGUCAUAAAAAUUUAUAAUCAUAUCGACCUACCAAUAAACUAAAAAUCAAACUGUUGCAGUCACAAAAGAUUUAUAAUCUCUAUGCUAGGCAAAUUAUAGGCAGCUAGUUUAAAUUCUUAAGAAAAUGCUAUUCUUACAAACCACUUCUACAAUAAAUUUCUAAUUUAAAAUUUAGUAGUUACGUUUUUAUUCUUUGUCUUACGAACUACAACAAUCACCUCAUGAAUGAUACCAUUUUGCCAAUUAAAAAUGGGUUGGUAAGGAAAUAUAUUAAAAAUUAUAAAAUUUAUCUGUAAGUAUAGCGUUACUUAAAUUCUUAGGAGCUGCAUAUAUGGGCUGAAGAGUGCUACAAUCAUAUUCACAGUUGCAGAGCACGUCGAGUGCAAUUUCGAAGUCCACGAAACCACGGCCCAUAAAAGACAAACAAGGUGGCCCAUUGAUGGGAGAAGAUUAGGUUGAGCUUAUGGGUCGGGCUUCUCCCACACAACCCAAAUUAAUGGGCCUAAUAUAUGUUUCUACUGGGUUGGAUCGACCACGUACAUCCGAACCCGAAAUUUAUUUAUAUAAUAAGCCCAGGCGUACGUGCUCUCGUUUUCACCAUGCAUGCAAUUAGCUUAAAGAGAAAUAAUAAUGCAUGCCCUAGCUAGCUAGGGGUUGCGUUGAUCAAGUAGAUCAACCUACCUGUGGAAGGUGCCUGAGGGGCCGGUGAGGGAUUCUCUCUCCCUCUCUCUCUCUCUCUUCCCCUCCCUAAAGGGUGAUAGAGACUCUCUCUCUCUCUCUCUCUCUCUCUCUCUCUCUCUCUCUCUGUGAGACACACACACGCUCUUCUCUAUAGAGAGAGAGAGAGAGAUCUCACAACACCCGCUUCUCUCUCUCUCUCAUACGCAAACACUUCUCUAGAGAGAGAGAGAGAGAGAGAGAGAGAGAGAGAGAGAGGUCACACAUGACACACCCACCCACCCACCUCUCUCUCUACCUCACACACACAUCUCUCUAUUGAGAGGAGAGAGAUCUCAAACAUACCCGCCUCUCUCUCUCUCUCUCUCUCUCUCUCUCUCUCUCUCUCUCAUAGGCACACACUUCUUUAGAGAGAGAGAGAGAGGGUCACACACACCCCCACCCACCUCUCUCUCUACCUGACACACACUUCUCUCUAUGGAGAAGAGAGAGAACUCUCACAUACCCGGUUCUCUCUCUCUCUCAUACGCAAACACUUCUCUAGAGAGAGAGAGAGAGGGUCACACACACCCCCACCCACCUCUCUCUCUACCUGACACACACUUCUCUCUAUGGAGAAGAGAGAGAACUCUCACAUACCCGGUUCUCUCUCUCUCUCCCUCCCCCCCAUACACACACACUUCUGUAGAGAAAGAGAGGCUCACACACGCACCCACCCACCUCUCUCUCUACCUGACACACACUUCUCUCUAUGGAGAAGAGAGAGAACUCUCACAUACCCGGUUCUCUCUCUCUCUCCCUCCCCCCCAUACACACACACUUCUGUAGAGAAAGAGAGGCUCACACACGCACCCACCCACCUCUCUCUCCCUCACACACACGCACACACACUCUUCUCUAGACAGAUAUCGAGAGAGAGAGAGAGGGAGAGAGAGAGAGGUGGGUGUGAGAUCUCUCUCUCUCUCUCUCUCUCUCUCUCUCUCUCUCUCUCUCUCUCUCUCUCUCUCUCUCUCUCUCUCUCUCUCUCUCUCUCUCUCUCUCUCUCUCUCUCUCUCUCUCUCUCUCUCUCUCUCUCUCUCUCUCUCUCUCUCUCUCUCAUACACACACACACUUCUCUAGACAGAUAUCGAGAGAGAGAGAGAGAGAGAGAGAGAUCUCACACACAUACCCCCACCUCUCUCUCUCUCCCUCACACACACACACACACACACAUUCUCUCUCUCGGAGAUUAAGUUGGUUGAUUUCUAAAUAGACACAAAAUUGACUCAUGCCCUAUCCUUUAUUCAAAAGAGAAGAACACUGCUACGCUUAAUUAUCUCAAGUUCCUUUAGAUAUGGAAACGGCAUAAUCAGUUAAUUAGCUAGUGCUUUUUUGGUAAACUUUUUAAAUAUUAAUUAGUCUUAUUCAACCACCGCGGUUUCUUACCUCAUCGAUAUAAUUGAGGGAAAGCCUUCUAGGGCACGCACAAUCUAAAAAUGUUACUUAUUCUCAAUUAAUCAUUAAUUAAUUAGAAGCUACUUUGUCAACACAAAUGCAUUGUCAUCAAACACAAAUAAUAAGAAAGCAAAGGACAAGUACUGUAAUCAAUAUUCAGUAAUAUUAAUUACUGCAAAAGACAAUGUAGUCAAGUUACAGAAUCCUGCAAACGACUUAGAAAUUACCACAUUUAUUUUUUCACCUAUAAAUUUGUAUAGAGCCCCACCACAAACAGGAUUACAAGACACUAACUAUACAACAACAAAGCCAAUGUCCUCCUAAAACCUUUCGGAAAACAAAGCCAGUAUUGAUCGAUCGCCUAUUAUAUGUGGAGACAGAUAAAAUAGACCAAAACAACAUUAACGAUGACAACAACAACAACAUAUCUAGCAAUCUUUCAGAAAAACUCUCUCUGAGAUCCCCCGUAGACAACAUUUUGGAAGUAAAUAAUCACAGUAAUUAUGUGUAGCUCGAAACCGAGAUUAUCACUUCCAUUCAUUUGGUUAUGUAUGAUGGAAGUGAUAAAUUGAAGUUUUGAUAGAAGUCCACUUCUAUCUGAAAAUUCAAUUUUUAUGUUAUGUCGACUUACCCCCAACGAAACGUUCCCUUGGCUAAGAUAGCACGAUGAAGAGCAUCACCGCCCCGGCCAGGAUCAUAACUAGCUGCAGCAACAAACUAACAGAGUAAAAUAUUUCAACGAUCGAAGCCCACAUUUCACCGUGCGGCGGUUCAAACAUGAGGCCUAUCCAGAUCAGGCCGGAUUCGAUGGCCAAUAGCUGGAAGAAUGCGCACACCUUUAGCCCUAAACUCAUGUAAUAUUGCUGUGGUGCAAUCCCCACACUCUCCACGCAUAUGAAUGCUAGUAGGCCACCAUUGACUGAGAUCAGCAUUGCAAUGCCGUUCCUCAUCACACCCGCAUAGCGUGGGUCAUGGUAUAAGGGUCGAGCACUAGUUGGAUUUCUCAGGCCGAUACCCAGAUACUCCUGGAUGAAGUAUACGAAGAUAGGGAUGAGCGCCAGCGAGAACACGCCCACGACUAAGGUUUCCAAGAACUGCAUGGCGAGCGCAGCGGCUGAUAGCCCGAGGAGGACCAAAAUAGCAGUGCUGCUGUAUCUCACAAAGCUUGAAAGGCUCCCUCUCCAAAAGGAGUAAUGAGCAGUUAAGGGGAUGGAGGUAACCAUCAUAACAAAGAUGCCAACCAUGGUGAUCAGGAAGAAGAGACUCAGCGCAAGUUGGAAACUUUGCAAUGCUUGGAGGGGAGGGCUUUUGAAGGAAGCAUAAAUCAUACCCGUUUGUACUGUGAUGGCCAUAGUUGCCAUAGCAGUAGCGAACUUGAAGGCCUUCUUUUGCUCCGGUUUGUAGCUGUUGAUCGAAGAUGCACAACAUGCAUGUUAAUUGAAAAUGUUGUUAAGCCUAGGCUUUUAGAGGCAGCUCCCAUCACCCCUCAAAAAUGAUAUAAAUAUUAGAUUAGCUGAUUCCGUUAUCUAUUAGUAAGUUUACCGAUGAAAAAAUGACCUAAGCUCAUGUAUAUAUGUUUCAAAUUAAAGAGAAAAUUACAGCUUACUUUUUACAUGAACAUGUAGUUCUUCAACUUUUCAAAGCAAAACUUAUUUCCAGCAUUCGAUACUUUUUUAACAAAUAGAAUUAGAGAAACAUGUUAAUGCCAAGUUUUUUUGUCAAAAAAAACACUAAAUUUAGUACCCGAGUCUUCUCUCUGAAUAAACUUGACACGCAAUAACAGCACAAGCUAAUAUAUAAUUUGAUACAUUUAUAAGAAGUUCAUGAGAUGCUAAUUCAGUUCACCUGAGAAGAUCAUUAAGCUAAUAGUACUAUCGAAAUGUAUAAAAACACAUAAUAUAUAUACCUUUCAUGGUUGGCACUGUCGUGGUCGUUAACAUUUUGUGUAGCCCUAUAUCCAAGGAAGCAUAUGAUAGCUAUCACAGGAAUUACAAUAAGACUCAUCCCUGCACUGUCCUUGCUCAGGAGUACUAUGGAGAAAAAGCUUGUCACAAUUAAAAGUACACAAGAUGUGGUAAUCCCGCCUAUGAGAUAUAUCUUCUGGUUUCGGUUGAUUCGAUUAUAAUGCCCAAAGAGAAAAAAUGCGUACAGCAACAACAAGAUGGGGGAUUGAAGAGUGGCCCAGAUGAGGAAAUUGUAGGCUUUGAUAACUGUGGAGGAAUGCAUGGCUCUUAUAUCUUUGGUUCCGUUCAAAAAUGCUAAGAGUAUUACAAAAGCCAUGGUUAUUUUCACACCCGAGAAAGCUAUGAUUCGCUUCAACUGGUCCCUAACUACUUUAAUUUUCUGUUCAUUUUCUCCUUCAUUGUCUUCUCCCUGUUGGUUUAUCUGCAGUUACGUCAAACAAGUAGUAAGUGUUUUGUAUAUACAUACAUAUAUAUGUAUGAUUAAUUGAUAUGCAAAUUAGAGGCCACUGGAAAUUAGCAAACAUAUUUAGAAGAUAGAGAUUGAAAGAGAGCUUCAUUAUAUAUUUAUAGAUUAGGCACCAUGAGAUAAUUCAUUAACCAAAAAAUUUACUAUUGGUAGGCUUAAAAGUUUUAUCACGAAAAUAAAGAUGAUGAUUUGAGAAAUAUAAAACUUAUAGAUGCAUCACAGGCUUAUUUUUACUACAAGACUCAAAGAUCAUCAUAUCACAAGCUUGUAAACCCACAUCCAUAUGGCUGUAAUUGAGAUGAAAAAUAAACAUUAACCCACCAGUGUAGUUAGCUUAGUUUUUGAUUGGUCUUGUCUCAUGAAAAAAGUUUUGGAUAUACUUAGCCACUAUGGCAGGGUAUAUAGUUUUAAGUAAUACCGCCAAAUGGUACCAUAAUAACCCAUACGAAUGGUGAAUUACGAAUUCAUAAUUAAUAUUAUUUGAACCUGCAGUGAUGAUGCUUAGGAAACAGUAAAUCUUAUCCUGAUAUAUUAAACAGGCCACAUAAUUUGGAAAAUCUUUUGGUCAAAAUCCAUUGGAUCUGAUUAUGGUGAAUUCGGUAUCGGAUGUGGCCAUAAGAGAGAACGAGAAAUUAAUCAGAUGAAAUACUAAAGAAAAGAGAAGAAGCACGUGUGAUGUGAGCUCGAGAAGAUCUUUAGUGAAGGGUUUAAUAAGCUAAAAACAAUACACAUAAGAGAGAGAGAGAGAGAGAGAGAGAGAGAGAGAGAGAGAGAGAGAUGCGCACGAAGAUAUAUAGCGACCUAAAACCCUACCUUUUCAAAAAAAAAAAAGAAAAAAAGAUAACAUAACUUGAUUUUGGAAAGAUUUUUUUUUCCAUUCUUUUGAUUGUAUUAACCUCAUAAAAGAAAAUGAUAAACAACUCAUGGAUGUGGAGCUGUUAUAAAUUCAUGUUUGGAAAGAAGAAAAGAAAAGAAAUAGCUGAUAAAAGAGAAAUAUCAGAUCUACAAUCAAACAAAGAAGCAGCAAGUGAGAGAUAAAGAGAGAGAGAGAGAGAGAGAUGCGCCACAAAAUAUAUAUAGCCAAUUAAAAUAAACCCUUUUGAAAAAAUUGAAAAAAACACCUAUAUUGCAGAUUUAUAUAUCAUCUGUGACCAUAACUUGAUUUUGGAAUGAUUUUUUUCUCUUUUUCUUUUGAGUGCAUAAACCUCACAAAAGAAAACAAAGAACAAUCAUCUGAUUUGGAGCUUUUAUAAGUUCAAAAAGAAAAAACCCCUAAAAACUUGCAAGCAAACAAAUAGCUGAUAAAAGGGAAAUAUGAUGAAACUUUUGAUGAAAUGAAAGAAAUCAUCUGAUGUGGAGCUUUUAUAAGUUCAAAAAAAAAAAAAAAAAAACCCCUAAAAACCUGCAAGCAAACAAAUUGCUGAUAAAAGAGAAAUAUGAUGAAACUUUUGAUGAAAUGAAACAAAUCAUCUGAUGUGGAGCUUUUAUAAGUUCAAAAAAAAAAAAAAACCCUAAAAACCUGCAAGCAAACAAAUAGUUGAUAAAAGAGAAAUAUGAUGAAACUUUUGAUGAAAUGAAACAAAUCAUCUGAUGUACGCUUUUAUAAGUUCAAAAAAGAAAAAAAAACUCCUAAAAACCUGGAAGCAAACAAAUAGCUGAUAAAAGAGAAAUAUGAUGAAACUUUUGAUGAAAUGAAACAGCAGCUGCAGGAGCAGAAGAACAAGACCUGCAGAGUAACUGAAUGAGAUUCCCGAGACAUUUGGUGAAAUGAAGGAGGCUCGCAAAGUAAAGGAAAAAGCUCCUCUUCCUCUUCUUCUUCUUCUUCUUCUUCCUCCUCUUCUUCUUCUUCUUCUUCUUCUUCUUCUUCUUCUUCUGCUAUUAAUUUAUAUGGUCAUUGUACCAAUUGCCCAUGGUGAGUGGUGGUGGUGGUGCGGGGGGGCGGGGGAGGGGGAAAUUAUGUGCGGCACAUUCGCAUGCGACGAAGAAGCUACCGCCGUCGGAUUGCUCCCACACGAAUCUCAAAGCACAGCGUGGGGCACGGAACGUGCCUCCCAUGGAUGCCUUCGCAAUUAAAUCUUUUCCUUCCCCUGUUGGUGGGUCCUCUAGCCAAUAGUCGGUGCGGAAAUUAAACCCCUUCUUUUGACCAUUAAUGUAUAUAUAUAAAAGAAUUAUGCUUUCGUAUAUCAACUUUUUAAUGUAUAUAUAUAUAUGUUACAAUUUACAGCUCAAAUUAAAACUAACUUCUCCAAAGUUCUUUCCCUUAUUACUUUUUAUUAAUCCAACAGGAAUUAAUAAUCUAAACACUAGAAGGGAAGUGUCGUAAUUAAAACAGACAUGCCAUUUUUCUCUAUAUAAAAUAAAACAAAAAUUUGAACACAAUUGAGCAUUGUUACGUCCAUAACCCACAGUGGAUUGUUAACCUACAAACAUCCAAUUCAAAGCCCACUUUUGCUCUAUAGGUCUCAACACUCUUAAUUUUAUUUUAUUUUUUUUAACUAAAAAGCAAAUUAAGGGAUUAGUAAACUCUAGAACCCUUGAAUAAAGAACUGCAGAUAUUACAACAUCUUUUUGAUUGUAGACUUAGCAUAUUAAUUUCUUAACAAUAAGAGCAUCUCACACCUCUCUCUCUCUCUCUCUCUCUCUCUCUCUUCUUCCCCUUGANUUUUAUUUUAUUUUUUUUAACUAAAAAGCAAAUUAAGGGAUUAGUAAACUCUAGAACCCUUGAAUAAAGAACUGCAGAUAUUACAACAUCUUUUUGAUUGUAGACUUAGCAUAUUAAUUUCUUAACAAUAAGAGCAUCUCACACCUCUCUCUCUCUCUCUCUCUCUCUCUCUCUCUCUCUCUCUCUCUCUCCCCCCCCUUGUUGCCCCUACAUAUUUUAGUUUGUUGACUCAUUCCGCAAAUCAUGUGAGAAACCCUAAUACGUUCUACUACAAGAUAAGGAUAAAUGUUUGUCUUGAAGUUAAUGUGUUGGUUUUAAAUAAAUUUGACUCAAAUUCGGUAACGAAUUAUAUAUUUUGAAAGAAAAUUAUUUUUCCAAACUACAAAUAGAAUAAAUAACAUCACAUAUUUGGAUAUUUUAGAAAGGAAAAUGCUUGGAUCCUCCAUAAUGUUGUACUUAUAUAUUACUAAUAUAUUAGCAAGUAUAAUAUAAUUUACAGAGAGAAAAACAUAAUAUAAAAAUUUUAAUUUGUUCAUACAUACUCUCAAAAUUUAUAUAAAUUUGUCAAUAAUAUAUAAGAACAAUUAAUAUUGUUUAUAGCAUAUAUACUAUUGCACUAGUCUUUUUAAAAUUUUCUUUUACGUACAUAUAUAGGUUGCAAAAGAUUGGCAUACAUUUUGCACGUAAUCGUGAGAUCAUUAAUAUAAUACACGGCUAUGAUUUCAUUUUUCUCCAGCUGAAGAAUAUGUGUACAACCUACACAUAAUAUGCAUGCAUCAAAAUUAUGUUAAUACAAAAGAAGAUUGGGAUUAAGCAAUAUGCUAGGUUUUCAACCCAUUUUAGGUUGCAAUUCUAUAUCUACUAUAAUCCCGAAGUCACUUUUUCUUUACAAGUCUUAUCAUUUUUCUUUUAAACUAAAAACCAAGAAAAGAAUAGUAAACCCUACAAUUCUCGGAUGGGGUUUUAUAGAGAUUAAAGACACAAAAGUUGAAGAAUCUAUAUGUAGAAUAAUAUCAUGGUUGAACAUACAUGGGUUCUGUCAUCUGUGAGGCACCUACUGUGUGCAAAUGUGAACAUGGACCCCCCACCCACACAUAAGAACAAGAUGAGGUGAGAGACUUUCACUGUGCGUUCCAACAUGGCUCUGAUUUUGUUUUCUCUCCUUUUCUUCUGCUUAAAAAUAACAAGAAAAGAUGGAACUUCAACAUCAAUCUCCACCUCCUCUUUUUUUUCUUUUCUUUUUUCCUCUGAGAGACUCUCCAUCAAUAUUGUUUUGAAAAACCAAAAAAGUCAAAGUCAUAGCUUUAAGAUUCGAGCCCAGGUCCAUUACUAGGUCGCUAGGUUGAAAAGCCAAAGCGCAUAAUUUUGAGUGAGUCCACGUACGGGCGUCACACAUGCAUCAUCCAUUUGAGUGUCCCUUCUAAGUAGGCGUCGUUGAAAAGCCAAAGUACAUAUUGAAACAAAAAGAAAUAAUUAGCUUGCUCGUGAGAGAUGUGGCAUCAUCUUCUACAUGCUUUGAAUUCCGAUCGAGUCGUAUUUGGUUUCAAGAAAAAGAAAUAAACCCGACUGGACUAGUGCUAUAAACAAUAUAUAUAUAUAUAUAUAUAUAUAUAUAGAGAGAGAGAGAGAGAGAGAGAGAGAGAGAGAGAGAGAGAGAGAAUCUUAUAAGCUACACAAAUUAAAAGAUUUUAAUUUAAUUUUUUUUUUUCCUUCCAAAAGUUUUAACUUCAAGUAUUUAAAGUUAUUUGCAAAAAUAAAAAAAAAAUCACGAAUUUUGAACACUUGCUUCUAUAGAUUAUUUUGUUUUGUUUUGUUUUCCUAAAGAAACCAGAUGCUUUGACAAAGAUAAAUAUAGGCUUCAAGAAAGCUAAGGUUGCUGAGAAGCUGGUUCAUUCACUAUGACCCAUCUUUAUCUUUGUUUUCUUCACAAGCCAAAAUAAUUCAACGCAAAAUCAGGCCCACUAAAGCUUUCAAAAUGGUCUUGUAUGACUAUGAAUUAGGUUUUACAUAUCUAAUCUUUCAUGCCUUUACAUAAGGAUAUAUUUGGGAAGUUUUUAAUUUGCUCUAGGUUACGAUUCGGUACUUAUAAUUAACGACAUCUUACUGUUUUUGGUUGAAUAAAUUAAGCUCUUCUUCGAUCGAUCAUAACCCUUAUAGAAGGGAAAAAAAAAAAAAUCCAAAUAGGAUCUUGGACACGAGAAAAUCUACAUUGUAACACUUACAUCACAUCAUCUAUUCUCAGCCAAUUACAUCACUUUUUUAAAAAGUAAAGUAUAAUAAAAAUAUUUUUUUAAUAAUUAUGAUGGAAUAGAUGAAUUUAAGAAAAAAAAUCUGAUUAAUUAAAAAUAUUAUAUCAGAAACAUCACUGGUAUAUUUUAAAAUUUUUUCCUUGGCCACACCAUACACGGAAGUACAAGGACGUGUAGGGCAAGAAAAUCAAGCAGGUAGAUGCUGCAGGGGUUGUUGGAUCUCUCGCUUUCGCGACUAAGUUACAUGUGGCAUGCAGCAUGGGAGGGGCCCAUUCUUUUGUCAAACUCCACCACUUGUAUUAAUUCCAUGAUGAAAUAGACUUCUUCUUUUUUUUUUUUUCUUUUUUUUUUGUGCCAAACUCCACCACUCGCAUAUUGAAAUAGAGAGCAGUACAUUAUUCAAGAAUAAUUUAGAGAAUGUUUUAGUAUGAUUUUAUGUAAGAAGUUCAAUAUUUUGCUUCUUUAAAAAUUUUACUGUCUAUGAUUUAUUAGGAUAGUAUAUUUUAUCUUUGAGGUGAUUUAUUUUAUUAUGAAAAAAUGACUUAAAAUCUAAACAUCAAUUUUCUUCUAAAUAUUUGAUCAUAAUCCUUAUUAGUCGAAAGAUAGUCAAGCGGGCCGUUAGUUUCAGUAAUUUAAUUGCAUGUUGGAACAACUUAUUCGGCACAAAGUUUUUCUUGUGUGCUAAAUUUAUUUUUACUUCUUGAUUGGAAUUUUCAUCCAUAAUAUAUAUAUAUUUUUUUUGAGAAAUAGGUAGCACACUAUCCGCUUCGUUUAUUUCAUUUAGAAAUAAACUUAGCUAGAAAUGUGAACCAACUAGGAUUCGAACUUGGAUCUCGGGUACCAACUACCAAGCCCUUUGCCACUUGCUCUAGGGGCAGUCGGUAUUUUCAUCCAUAAUUUGAUUAGAUAACAUAUUUCACUUGCAAAAUGAUUUAUUUUAUUCCGAAAAAUUGAUUAGAAAGUUGUAGUGAGUAUACAUUAAUUUCAUUGUCUUAUUUUAGGGUUUAAUCACAUUAUAUAUUGCCUUAUAUAUAAGGUCUUAUAUUUUAGGGAUUAGAAAGUUGUAGUGAUUCACUAUAUAUAUUGUCUUAUUUUAGAUGUUUAAUCACAUUUCUUAUCACCAAAUGCUACGAUUUCUUGAGAAAAUUAAAAUUACAUCCAGAAUAAGAACUUGGUGAUCGGUACCCGAGGUUCCAAGUUCGAAUCCUAAUUAAUUCACAUUUCCAGCUAAGUUUAUUUCUUAAUGAAAUAAACGAAGCAGGUAGCGUGCUAUCUAUCUCUCUCUCUCAAAAAAAAAAAAAGACCUUAAUCAAAUCACUAAUUAAUUUGCAGUGAGUAUAUAUAUAUACAUUAGUUUUAUAUAAUGUCAUCCUAACGAAGAAGAAUCCUAAUAACAACCGGAUAAUUAAGACAAAUUAAGACUCAACUUGUGAAUAAAAGAUACCGGCUAUGGGCGCACAAUAACCUGUAAGAUAAAAAUAAGAAACAAACUCUUUUAACUUAUAUCAUGCACCUAAUAAUUUUUUGACCCUAUCAAUAUCUUUUAGAUAAUUAACCAAGUGGCAAAGUACUGAAUGGUUCGUAUCAUAUUUCUAAUUACUUCAUAUUUUAAUUAAAAUUAUUUUUUUAAAAAAAUGAAUAAAAUAAUAGUAUGCUAUCAUUCUAGAAACCAUGCACGAAUCAGAUUCCGGCUCGAAUCUCUGAGCCCAUUGAGGUGUCAAUUAGAAAUUUUGGUUUACUUAAUUACCGUAUAGUAGUUUACUAACUCUACGCGGAGAGUGUGGGGACGUCGCACAUUAACAUACAAGACCAAAGAAAAUUUUUUAAAAAUGAAAAUAAUAAUAAUAAAAAAAAAAACAAUUGAAAGAUAUAGAGUAUGUGUCUCCCUCAGCGUCACGCGUAUACAAAUAUAGAGCUUUAAUUCUUUUUAUUUAUUUAUUAAGUGGUAUCUUAAUUAAAUUUUUACUAUUUUAACAGUCGAUCGAAUGAAGUUGUUAGUUUAACAAUUAAAUAUAAUAUUAAUAAAUUGAUAUUUUGUUAGACGCUGUGAUGCAAUUGAUCAAUAAUUAAUUACUAGCUUGUUUUCGUUAGGCCUUAUUUAUUCAACCUUAAAUUAUUAAAAAAAAAAAAACUUUGGGCUCUAUAUUCCACCCAAUUUUGUAACUAUAUAACCACAAUUGGGCCGUAGGCCAUAGUUCCAAAUGGGCUCGAUUAUACACGACCCUAACUUGAAAUUAAGCCCAACCAUAUGUUACUAACUUGAAAUGAGUCAAAAAGAGGUGUACAUCCUACACCUUGUCCGUUGGAUGGUGUACAAGUAGUAUUUUUCUACUCUAGUAACUAACGUCCUUGACGCGUUUAGCAUCUUUUGCUAUCCUAUUCAUGGAAAAGUUCCUCCAACCUAAUCUCCGGAUUUUGCUUUUUAAGUCCAAGUGAUCCCAAUUAGAUGCUACAAUUUUCACCAAUCAUCUCAAGGCCUUACUCUCUUAGAUCUCUCUCUCUCUCUCUCUCUCAUGUGUUGCCUUAAAACUUUUAUGCUAAUCUUUUCCCCAACUCCGAAAAAAGCUACUUAAUUAAUGUGACUCCAAAUUAAGAUGCAUCCAAUUCUCAAACGUCAGCAUAAACAGGAGAAGCACCAGCAACCAAACAAAAACCCACCAUUCCUUAAUUUGUCUCCACCUGCUUCUCAUUGUUCUCUUCCUCCCUUGUAUUUAUCUAUGGUUACAAUCCCAGGACCACACUCUCCCUUAAUACCUCUCCUUUUAUUUUAAGCACUAAAAAACAAACAAAGCAUCUAUAAUAAUCUAUAAUUAAAGAGGAUAAUAUAUAUUCAAUAAUGACAAAAAACCAAAACAAUUUGUGUUGAGAGUGGGAUUUGAACCCACGCCCUUUCGGACCAGAACCUUAAUCUGGCGCCUUAGACCAACUCGGCCAUCUCAACUUAUCUAUAUCAUUUCUUCGUACAUUUCUAAUAAUCUAUUUAUCAUACUCUAGUAAAUAGAAAUUCCCCAUGGAUAAGAAUCAAGUUGGGCGUGUUUGGUUCGCUUCUUUUUUACUCUGGAAUCGGAAUCGGAAUGGAUGAAUCCGUUUGUGGGUGUUUGGUACGCGGGAGUCCCAUUCCGAUUCCAAUUCCCGAGUGGAAUGGGAAUCUCCCAAUCACCCCUUUUUUCAAUCCGGCCUGGAGGCCGNCAGGUCUAAUUAGAGUAUACCGAAACAUUCGUCGUUUACAAUUAUAAGGAUACAUCAACGUGGUAUGUUUAUAGAAUCUAAAGAUGAACGAUUGACAUUCUUUUCUUUAAAGUAUAGUUUGCGUAGUGAUGAACCAGUAGCGAUAACGAUACUAAUAAAGUACAGCCAAGAGUAUAACUCAAAUCUUAAGAACAAAGGUAUCAACGCUCGUCAAAACUAGAAACUUCGGAUGCUCCCUACAUCCGAUAAUUGUCACCCCUCGGCGAGUGAAUAAAGGAGGAGAAGAAAAUACGCACUGUUUGGUUCUAAUUAUUUAGUUCGUAAAGUGUUCUCAUCUGGUAAAUUAAUGUAAUCCGAGAAGUCAUACCACUCUUCCUUUAACUCCGUGGAAUCAUAGGUUUUCUCUACUAAAUCAUAAUGUAAACAAAGAAGACUAUACAAUGAUACUUAAAAAAUACAGUGUGUAAAACAUUACAUGAUACAAAAAUUACGUAACGUUAAGAAUAAAACAGGAACUAUAAAUACGUCUUCGUCGCACUCUUAUGUAUGCUUCGAAGCUCCUUCGGCUAAAAUGGUGGUCUAAAACACCUCUUCGUCUCUCGCAUAAAGCGUCUCUAGCUAAGUAAGCUUGACGGCCUCCUCCUCCAGAGCCUCUCACUCGACCUAAUCGGCGCACUUUACUGCUGACACGUGAAGAUAUUGUACGAUCACGCCAUCCUUGAUUAGAAACAUGUCGUGUACAUAGUUUCCAUUGACCCCUAAAACCGGUACUUCCGACAACAUACGCAUGGGGUAACAUUUUAACGGUACAUUGGGAGUUGUAAAAACCUACAUAGGAGGUAGUUAAAGUAAGAUUAGGCACCCCUUAAAGAUAACUAAAUGAAAGGCAAGUCUCCUUAAAGUGACGCACCUCUUUUUAUCUAAUAGUACUUACAUGAACUGGUCCUAUAUCAACUAAGCUGACAUUUACCUCCUACAAAUCACUGAUACAAAUUAAAGCAAAUUUCUUGGUGCAAAUUGCUCUAAGGACAUGGAGGCAACAGAAUAUUCCACAAGCAACAUAAUAUUCUUGUAGAUGAUAGAAUAUUCUGUCGAGUCUAAUAUACUGUAAUAUUAGGCAUUACGGUCAAAAUUGUUGAAACUAAUGUUUCGAUUGUAAAAUACGUAAAGGCUCUGCAUUUUUAACUUAAUACUUCGCAUCCCAGGCUCAUGUAUAACAUAAAAUUAUUGUAUUAUAUUUUGUAGGAUGAUGCAGGGAGGCCGGGGCAACUCCCACGUGCAGCUGGAGCUCCUACCGCCGCCCGCCCGUGAUGUUUCCUUGGUUCCAUGCUUGAUACUGCUACAAGAUCAGUUGCUUUGUCUUUCAACUCCUUCCUGAAUCUUAAAAUUGUUUCGUGAGGGUCAAUUUUGUUCAGAGUUUCAUGUGACAAAAAUUGUGUUACGUACCUGACUCGGCGUAACCCCCAUCGAUGAUGAGAUCUCGCUGAGAUGAGGACGGCGUCGAGGAUGAUGGUCUUUGAUCCGACCCAGAGUAUUGCAGUACCAGGUAAGGAAAAGAGUAAGCUAAGAUGUGGAAGAACUUAAGAGGGAAGAGUUUGAGAAGGAGAAGAAUAAGAGUAGAUAAAAGAGGAGAAUAGAGAAGGAGGAGGAGAUUAAGUCGAGAAGAAAAUCAAUAUCAAUAUCAUUCAUAAUUCCUUCUAGGUUACAUCUGCCUCUUUUAUUAUCUCGUACAUCAUACUAAAAUGAAAAAAAUAUCAACUCCUAGGUAAUAAACUGAAAUUAAGAAAAAAUCAAGAGUGUGGGCCAGUUGGCCUUAAUUUGUAAGGCCGAUGCACUAUGUCGUCAAAACCUGUUUUAUUGCGUUCAUGAUUCUUGAAGAUCUUGUUGGAUAUUUACCGGCUUUCUAAUAUGAUUUCGUCAUCCAUGUAGGAAUGGCUUGUAGAUUGCUGCGGGUGAAAUUUUGGUUAUGGAUGUUGAAACUAGUGAUCAUCUGUCCUUGUGUUUGAUGAUUCUUUGUUAGUUGUAUGAGAAGAUUGUAUUUUGAUCUCACUUGGUGCAUGCUUUUAAAGAGAUCAAGCUUCGUGUGACGCAAGAAAUUUACCAUCAAGGUAACCAGAGCAAACAUAAAAAAUAAAAAUCAUACUUAUCCACAAAUUAAAUAUUCAAGUAAGAAGAAGAUACUUAUACGGAGAGAGAUUGAAGUAUGAGACAUUACUAAUGCAUGAGAUGCAGUGUGAAAAGCAUCUCAAAUUGAAAGCAUCGGUUUAUUUUUAAUUCUGACUUCGUUGAACCGUUCUUUGUCCGGAUUGAAAUAAAAUAAAACCAUAUGGAAACACAAUAUUUAUACAACAACGUGUACGUCAGUAUGUGCAAUUCAACACCAAUAGGGAAAUUAAUUAAGCAUGAAUUAAUUGUUGUUAAUUGCCGUGCUGAUCCAAAACCAUUUUAUCUAUUUCUAUUCAACCCCCAGGAAUCUUUCAACCUGCACCAUAAACGUACAAAAAUAUAUAUUAUGUAUAUUCAUAUGGGCAUGCAUGUUAGCUUAGCUAAUAUCUCCAAAGACGAAGACAAAAAAUAUAUAGGCCCUUCGAUUGAUAAGUAAUUAUUAAACUAAAUUUCUCUAUAUAUGUUGGCACCGAGUCUUUGAUGCAUGCGCUUCAUUGCUUUAAUCUCUCAACACUCCUUCACAUUGCUAUUUCCUGUUGCCUUCUUUCUUUCUUCCUCCGCCCUUCGGUAUGUAUACAAUGGUUUAUUUUUCCUCGAAACAACUUAAUUAUUUUGAGAUUAUUUUUUCUGUUUUCGGGACAGGGUAUUCAAUUAAGUGCAUUUAGUUGCAUGCGCGCAUAAGCUAGCAUAUUUUUGUUUAAUUCAUUUGCCAUACAUAAAUAUGCUUUACUCUUGAGUUUAAUGGGAACUUGCAUACAUACGUAUACCAAUGAAUGAAUAGUACAUGCAUGCAUGGCAUGUUCCUUUUCUCAAAUGUCAAGUAAUUAAAUGCGUAUAAGGGUGAAAACAAUAAAAAUGUUCGGUUUAUGAUCAAUUGUUCGUAGAAAAUAAAAGAUUC
RNAcentral lists this long non-coding RNA (18226 nucleotides) under Ananas comosus (pineapple). RNAcentral's name for it is "long non-coding RNA (ACOM_LNC018975)". The record is from RNAcentral. Lineage: Eukaryota; Viridiplantae; Streptophyta; Magnoliopsida; Poales; Bromeliaceae.